Molecule: non-coding RNA, 188 nt
Filed under: Candidatus Nitrospira nitrificans
Lineage: Bacteria; Pseudomonadati; Nitrospirota; Nitrospiria; Nitrospirales; Nitrospiraceae
Source: RNAcentral
AUCAUUGGGGAGGGAUUCGUUAGGUCAUACCGUCAGCGACGGGGAAGAUGGUGCAAAUCCAUCACGGUGCCGCCACUGUAAGCGGGGAGUGACUCUGCAGAAUGCCACUGUGUGCCUCGGCACAUGGGAAGGCGCGGAGAAGCUGUGAUCCGCAAGUCAGGAGACCCAACUGCCGGGACGAUAGACAC